RNAcentral lists this ribosomal RNA (780 nucleotides) under Chloroflexi bacterium enrichment culture clone D154. Its description in RNAcentral is "bacterial SSU rRNA". It matches the Rfam family "Bacterial small subunit ribosomal RNA", at positions 76 to 875 of the family's 1533-position model. The record is from RNAcentral. Lineage: Bacteria; Bacillati; Chloroflexota.
GCAGCAAUGCCUUGAGUGGCGAACGGGUGAGUAACGCGUUGGUACCUGCCCCAAAGCGGGGGAUACCAGACCGAAAGGUCUGUUAAUACCGCAUGUGCUCCGUAAGGAGGAAAGGUUUUGCCUCGUAAGAGGUAGAUCACUUUGGGAGGGGCCUGCGUCCCAUCAGCUAGUUGGUAAGGUAACGGCUUACCAAGGCGAUGACGGGUAGGGGACCUGAGAGGGUGACCCCCCACAAUGGAACUGAAACACGGUCCAUACACCUACGGGUGGCAGCAGUAGGGAAUAUUGGUAAUGGGCGCAAGCCUGAACCAGCAACGCCGCGUGUGCGAUGACGGCCUUCGGGUUGUAAAGCACUUUUGACUGGGAAGAGGAAGGACGGUACCGGUCGAAUAAGCCUCGGCUAACUACGUGCCAGCAGCCGCGGUAAAACGUAGGAGGCGAGCGUUAUCCGGAUUUACUGGGUGUAAAGCGCGUGCAGGCGGCUCGAUAAGUUGGAUGUGAAAGCUCCCGGCUCAACUGGGAGAGGUCGUACAAGACUGUCGGGCUUGAGGAUGGUAGGGGAAGGUGGAAUUCCGGGUGUAGUGGUGAAAUGCGUAGAUAUCCGGAGGAACACCAGUGGCGAAGGCGGCCUUCUGGACCACACCUGACGCUCAGACGCGAAAGCUAGGGUAGCAAACGGGGUUAGAGACCCCGGUAGUCCUAGCCGUAAACGAUGUGAACUUGGCGCCGGGCGGGUAAAACCGAUCGGUGCCGCAGCUAACGCGAUAAGUUCACCACCUG